UACGGGGGGAGCAAGCGUUGUUCGGAUUUACUGGGCGUAAAGGGCGCGUAGGCGGCGCAACAAGUCACUUGUGAAAUCUCCGGGCUUAACCCGGAGCGGCCAAGUGAUACUGUCGUGCUAGAGUGCGGAAGGGGCUACUGGAAUUCUCGGUGUAGCGGUGAAAUGCGUAGAUAUCGAGAGGAACACCUGCGGCGAAGGCGGGUAGCUGGGCCGACACUGACGCUGAUGCGCGAAGGCCAGGGGAGCGAACGGG
RNAcentral lists this ribosomal RNA (253 nucleotides) under uncultured bacterium. RNAcentral describes it as "partial 16S ribosomal RNA". It matches the Rfam family "Bacterial small subunit ribosomal RNA", at positions 524 to 776 of the family's 1533-position model. The record is from RNAcentral.